This 254-nucleotide ribosomal RNA is filed under the name uncultured bacterium. Its description in RNAcentral is "partial 16S ribosomal RNA". It matches the Rfam family "Bacterial small subunit ribosomal RNA", at positions 524 to 776 of the family's 1533-position model. The record is from RNAcentral.
UACGGGGGGAGCAAGCGUUGUUCGGAUUUACUGGGCGUAAAGGGCGCGUAGGCGGCCACCGCAAGUCGACUGUGAAAUCUCCGGGCUUAACCCGGAAAGGUCAGCCGAUACUGCGGGGCUAGAGUGCAGAAGGGGCAACUGGAAUUCUCGGUGUAGCGGUGAAAUGCGUAGAUAUCGAGAGGAACACCUGCGGCGAAGGCAGGUCACUGGGCAGUUACUGACACUGAGGCACGAAGGCCAGGGGAGCAAACGGG